GGGCAGAAGCAAGGAUUGGCCAUAGAGAGAAGCAGGAUAUAAUUUUACAGUUUACACUUAACUUGUCCUAUUUAGCUUAACUUAGGUUUUGCAGCCUACAGCAGUAAUUCUAGUUAUACACAUGUUGCCAUGUAUCUUUGCUCCUUCCUUUCCUUCUUAAAAAAUCACCUCUUCACCUCUUUCUGCCUGACUCAAAAGAUCUGCUCUUUAGCCUAAAAUUUUCCCCAGCCUAGUAGCAGUAGUCCUCUUUCUUUAAGCCUGUGGUUACAUUUUAAAAUUCUGAAUGAACCUAAUACUGAAUGUGUAAACAAGUGACUGCUUACUCUGGCCCCUCUCUCCCAUCCUCAUUCCUGUGUGUAAUCAAGAUUGCAGCAGGCUGCCAACCGAACCCCCUCUAAGAAUAAAAAAAAAACAUUACUCUGGGUCUACAGGAGAAAAGUGAAUUAACUCAUAAUGUAACUACCCAGAAUUUUAC
RNAcentral lists this long non-coding RNA (475 nucleotides) under Bos taurus (domestic cattle). RNAcentral describes it as "long non-coding RNA NONBTAT007299". Lineage: Eukaryota; Metazoa; Chordata; Mammalia; Artiodactyla; Bovidae. The record is from RNAcentral.